RNAcentral lists this long non-coding RNA (698 nucleotides) under Vulpes vulpes (red fox). RNAcentral describes it as "lncRNA (ENSVVUG00000022135.1)". Lineage: Eukaryota; Metazoa; Chordata; Mammalia; Carnivora; Canidae. The record is from RNAcentral.
UAAAGAUAAAAAGUCAACCUGUUUCCUCCACUUAACAGGCCCCUGACUUGAAAGGAAAAUAGAGGAGCAAUUGAAUGUGUGUAUGUGUAUACUUUACUUGCUCCCUGAGUCCUUGGACCACAGCAUUCCUCAUUACCGCAGGUGAUUAAUGGCAUCAGCAUCCUGGCACCUUGGACUACAAUUUGUUCAAAGUCAGGAGAAUUUGGAAGUAAGAGAAUGGUAGUACGUGUGGCGCUAGAUGGAGUAGGGCAAGAAAGGUAGAACAUGACUUGUGGAAAUACAUGGUAAAAAACAGAGCCGUAAUAACUAAUGUUUCCCCUUCUCUGUUGUAGACCCCAUCUAGGCUCUGGUGUAGUCUUCCCCUUCUCUUUAGGUAGUUACGAUGGUUAGUGACGAUUACGCCAAAGAUUUACCUCACAUUCUUUUCAACCACCGAUGAAAAAAGAAGGCAACUAUAAAGACUUCAACAGGCAGUGGCUGAGUAAUGCAUCGCCCUGAAACCGGUAAGGCAGCGGGCUAAAGAAGUUUCAAGGAAGUUAAGUCCGAAGUCUUGCAAGGAAGACAGCUAUCAGGCCUGGAUCUCUCCUCAUGGCAGCUGUAGGAAACACAGGAACUCCGUGACCUGGAAAAUGUGGGACAACUGCCACAAGAAUUUAUGGUCCCUAAGAGGCAAGAUUAUACUAUCUCUUACAUCUUAA